CUCAUUAAAUCAGUUAUAGUUUAUUUGAUGGUCUCUUUGUUCUUCUUUUUACCUACUUGGAUAACCGUGGUAAUUCUAGAGCUAAUACAUGCGCAAGGUCCCGAGCGCGAGGGACGGGGUCUCACGGCUUCGUCUCUGCAUGCGCAGAGGGAUGUAUUUAUUAGGUUAAAAACCAGCAGCGCCAGCAAUGGCGUUCACACAACUGGUGAUUCAUAGUAACUCUUUCGGAUCGCAUUCAUG
This 240-nucleotide ribosomal RNA is filed under the name uncultured Acanthamoeba. Its description in RNAcentral is "partial 18S ribosomal RNA". It matches the Rfam family "Eukaryotic small subunit ribosomal RNA", at positions 97 to 279 of the family's 1831-position model. Lineage: Eukaryota; Discosea; Longamoebia; Acanthamoebidae. The record is from RNAcentral.